This 98-nucleotide non-coding RNA is filed under the name human gut metagenome. Its description in RNAcentral is "yjdF RNA". It matches the Rfam family "azaaromatic riboswitch aptamer (yjdF RNA)". RNAcentral also lists the same sequence under 1 other name. The record is from RNAcentral.
GCGGAUAAAAACACGUCCCGGCCGGUAGUCCGGGAGUAACGGCAAAACAAACCGUUAUCAGUAACCUGCCUCCUUGGUUGUCCGUUCCGCAUUUAUUU